RNAcentral lists this long non-coding RNA (312 nucleotides) under Theobroma cacao (cacao). RNAcentral's name for it is "long non-coding RNA (TCAC_LNC005062)". Lineage: Eukaryota; Viridiplantae; Streptophyta; Magnoliopsida; Malvales; Malvaceae. The record is from RNAcentral.
CAUUCCCCAAAUCCCAACCAGCCAUAUUUCCGAGAAGGGUUUUCCUUCCGACUCAUGAAAUUCGGCAAUGCACGUGUAUGUGAUCCAUUCUCAGCUGCUUUUGCCAACCUCUAAACCUUCAAUUUGCAUGUAAACAAAUAGAGAAUAUACCCUGCUUCAACUUGGAAUUUUAUAACAACGAUCUUUGACGGAUCCAGUUGUAUGUCCAUGUCGCCAUGACCAGAAUCCGCGGGAAUACAGGAGAAAUGGGAAUGACCAAAUUAUGAUGCCACCCCAUGGUUACACAAAGCUAUGCAUCCCAACUGGGUCGGU